ACCAACUGUAAACUUGGUUGCGCCCAUCUCUUUUCCAAUUUAGCAGUUGAUGUUGUUGUUGGUGGUGGUGAAGAGAGAAGGUGGGAUAAAAUGGAAGUUCCCACAAAGUGGAGAAAGCAAGACCGACAGCCGGACAUAAGAGGGUCUAGCAGCACAGAGACACAGGGAGAAGGAGAGGCACAGUGAAAGCAGUGGCCAGGCAGGGACAUGCUCUGGGGAUACAGAUCAGAGGAGAGAGAGAGAGAAGCCGCUGCCUCAUCUAGGACUCGACCACUCACAUAUGAGAUGAGAUGUGACAGUGGAGCGACUUGAACCUUUUUGAAAUAGAAGUUAUGUCUACGAUGGCGAAGUAUUCAGCAGGUUGUGGAUUCGGCAGAGUGAAUUGACAUGAUGGACAAAGAGCUGAUUCUUCAUAUGAAUACCAAAGAAGAAGAGCCAACAAGUAAAUACGAUGACUUCAGAUCUUCCUGCCUCCACCUCAAACUUCUGUCUCUGCCGGCUCUGAAACCAGACCCACCUGUCGGAUGUGCCGUGAUGAUACCUGGAUGUGUUACCGAGAUGAAAGCCACACAUGCCGAGCAGCUUCUUUUAAAUUCUUUUUCAAGCAGCAGAAUCAGCUGAGCGAGGAGAGACGCACACAUCCAUCCAUCCUUCUGUGGGAGCCCCGCCCCCUGCUGCUCGUUAGGACACCUCCAAACUCGUUAACUCAUAUCGCUCUCCUCUUCCUCUACAUCUCCUCCUCCUCACCCAUCCUCAGCUUCUUCUUCACCUCUGUCAUCUCUCGUCUGAGGCUGAGCUGCUGCUGAUGGAGCGGCGCUCUGGGCUCCGACUGAUGGAGCUUUAGUGACAUCUAGUGGUUAAAUGUCAGAACUGCAACAGAACAGGAGACAAAGACAGACUCAGGAAAGUCGUUUGUUGAAGGAGCGGAAACAGAAUUAUCACUUCAACAACAACACCUUUGAUGACAUUUACUGUCUUGACACAUCAAGUGAACACAGCGCUGGAUUUGAAGUCAUUUGUGUUUCUGUCUUCACUUCAUCUGUGUCUCCAAACGUCAUCUGGCUGCUUGUUAAAAGACAAAAAUGAAAUCAAGGCUAAAGCUGCAAGUUGGAUCGACUCUUUAUGUCAGAAUCAAGACACUUUAUUGAUCCCGAGUGGGGAAAUUGGAUGCCAUACAGUUUCUCCUUCUAGAAUAGAAAUGUCUCAGUGUGGAGGAAUUUAAAAUAUAAAACUGGAGAAUAGAGUAUGUAAAAAUAAAAGUAUACAAUGUA
Molecule: long non-coding RNA, 1271 nt
Organism: Acanthopagrus latus (yellowfin seabream)
Lineage: Eukaryota; Metazoa; Chordata; Actinopteri; Spariformes; Sparidae
Exons: 7
Source: RefSeq, a predicted model, not a curated record